This 588-nucleotide ribosomal RNA is filed under the name uncultured bacterium. Its description in RNAcentral is "bacterial SSU rRNA". It matches the Rfam family "Bacterial small subunit ribosomal RNA", at positions 112 to 697 of the family's 1533-position model. The record is from RNAcentral.
AACGCGUAUGCAACCUACCUUGUACAGGGGGAUAGCCCAGAGAAAUCUGGAUUAAUACCGCAUAAUAUGAAUGAUUCGCAUGGAUUAUUUAUUAAAUUUUCGGAGGUACAAGAUGGGCAUGCGUAGCAUUAGUUAGUUGGUAAGGUAACGGCUUACCAAGACGAUGAUGCUUAGGGGGUCUGAGAGGAUAGUCCCCCACACUGGUACUGAGACACGGACCAGACUCCUACGGGAGGCAGCAGUGAGGAAUAUUGGUCAAUGGACGCAAGUCUGAACCAGCCAUGUCGCGUGCAGGAUGACGGCCCUAUGGGUUGUAAACUGCUUUUCUACAGGAAUAAACUUUGCUACGUGUAGCGAACUGAAGGUACUGUAUGAAUAAGGAUCGGCUAACUCCGUGCCAGCAGCCGCGGUAAUACGGAGGAUUCGAGCGUUAUCCGGAUUUAUUGGGUUUAAAGGGUCCGUAGGCGGGCCGGUAAGUCAGUGGUGAAAUCCCAGAGCUCAACUCUGGAACUGCCAUUGAUACUGUCGGUCUUGAAUUUAGUUGAGGUGGGCGGAAUACGUUAUGUAGCGGUGAAAUGCAUAGAUUAU